CAUGCAAUAUCAUCUAUGAUGAGUUUAUGUUAAUGUUACAUUACAAUUAAAAGUUAUCACUGUACAUAAGGCUAUACAAUUGGAAAUGAGAACGCAAAUCCGUUUAUUGAACCUAUUAAAUACCAAAAUUUUACUCGACAUAAAGAAAUCUACAAUUAAUUGAACUUACAAUCAUUCAAUUGACAUACAAGUUGUUUUCAUUUUUUUUAUAAUAUACAUAUCUCACAAAAUUAUAUUCAUUAUGUUUUUUUUGCAAAACUGAAUGAUGCGUAAUCUCGAAAUCAGCGAAAGUAUCACAGUACAUUGGAACAACUUCUUCUGCUCAUACUUGAAAGAGGAUCCCACGCACCUUAUUGACCGAACUUCUUGUUAGAUGUUUAAAUUUUCCAUCUGUGCACUGAAGAACAUACCUACUUGGUGACCAAUACACAGGCUAUAUCAGGUAAAAUAAAUGACAACUGUUUAAACUUCUUCAAAUAUAGGUCCAUUGAAGUAUUAAUCAUUGUCACUGUUUGAUAUUAUAAUAAUUUCAAUAUCUAACAAAAGAUGGGUGGUCUUACAGAAAGCUGAAUAUGUGUUACUUCCAACACGAAUGCAUGAUCAGACGUAAACAAUUAUCACUGUAUAGUGAGUAGGAAAGAGUUAAAAAUGUGAAUUCAAUAUAUCAAUAAAAAAAUAAAAAAAAGACGCUAUUAACAAGAUUAAGUUCAAUACACAUUCAUAUCAAUUAUAAAACAUUGAUUAUGCUUCAAAUUAACAACUCAAUCUUUCUUUUGUUUUUGUUUCAGUUAACAGUGUAAUGAACUAUAAAUAAUUGUUGUUGAUAGCAGAUUGGUGUUCUUGAAUAACCACCAUCAUUGUUAGGGCUGAUGAGCCAAAGACAUUUGAAAUUGCAUAAACUGUUAAUGAGCGAACAUCUGAAUGGAUUGAAGUACUCCCAGUAAAACUCCUCUAAGGUGAACUCAAAGUGUUGAUAAAAUAAAAAUGUUCAUUACUGUUAAUUAUAUGAUAUAUAGUAGACUAAAAUCAUACUGUUGCAGUCUGAUAGUUUUUCAAAUGUGCUAAUUCCAGGGCAUGCUGUAGUAGUAUUAUAUGUGACUGACAGUUCUUCAAUAUAAGCUACACCGAGCAAAUUAAGUGGAACAUAUACCAAUAGUUACGCAGAAAUAUUUUUCAACAAUCUUCACAUAUGCCAGCUCUAUUCUAGUGUCAUACAGUGUUUGUAAAUACAAAAAAGACAACCCCUAUUGUCAGUUUAACAAAGGGAUGCCAAGGUACAGGUAAGUGGUAAAAUGAAUUUCGUCAAAGAAUAAACUAUAACUCUGAAACAAGCC
This 1334-nucleotide long non-coding RNA is filed under the name Mytilus galloprovincialis (Mediterranean mussel). Lineage: Eukaryota; Metazoa; Mollusca; Bivalvia; Mytilida; Mytilidae. The record is from RNAcentral.